Molecule: ribosomal RNA, 433 nt
Filed under: uncultured bacterium
Lineage: Bacteria
Description: partial 16S ribosomal RNA
Rfam family: Bacterial small subunit ribosomal RNA
Source: RNAcentral
AACGAACGCUGGCGGCAUGCCUAACACAUGCAAGUCGAACGAGACCUUCGGGUCUAGUGGCGCACGGUUUCGUAACGCGUGGGAACCUGCCCUUAGGUUCGGAAUAACUCCCCGACAGGGGUGCUAAUACCGGAUAAUAUCUUCGGCCCAAAGAUUUAUCGCCUUUGGAUGGUCCCGCGUUGGAUUCGCUGGUUGGUAGGGUAAAAGCCUACCAAGGCGACGAUCAAUAGCUGGUCUGAGAGGAUGAUCAGCGACACUGGGACGGAGACACGGCCCAGACUCCUACGGGAGGCAGCAGUGGGUAAUGUUGGACAAUGGGCGAAAGGCUGAUCCAGCAAGGCCGGGUGAGUGAUGAAGGCAUUAGGGUUGUAAAGCUCUUUUAACCGGGAUGAUAAUGACAGUACCGGGAGAAUAAGCGACGGCUAACUCCGUG